AACGAACGCUGGCGGCAUGCCUAACACAUGCAAGUCGAACGAGACCUUCGGGUCUAGUGGCGCACGGGUGCGUAACGCGUGGGAACCUGCCCUUAGGUUCGGAAUAACUCCCCGAAAGGGGUGCUAAUACCGGAUAAUGUCUUCGGACCAAAGAUUUAUCGCCAUUGGAUGGGCCCGCGUUGGAUUAGCUAGUUGGUAGGGUAAAAGCCUACCAAGGCGACGAUCCAUAGCUGGUCUGAGAGGAUGAUCAGCCACACUGGGACUGAGACACGGCCCAGACUCCUACGGGAGGCAGCAGUGGGGAAUAUUGGACAAUGGGCGAAAGCCUGAUGCAGCAAUGCCGCGUGAGUGAUGAAGGCCUUAGGGUUGUAAAGCUCUUUUACCCGGGAUGAUAAUGACGGUACCGGAAGAAUAAGCUCCGGCUAACUCCGUG
This 433-nucleotide ribosomal RNA is filed under the name uncultured bacterium. Its description in RNAcentral is "partial 16S ribosomal RNA". It matches the Rfam family "Bacterial small subunit ribosomal RNA", at positions 29 to 507 of the family's 1533-position model. The record is from RNAcentral.